AUUGAACGCUGGCGGAAGGCCUAACACAUGCAAGUCGAACGAGUGGCGGACGGGUGAGUAAUGUCUGGGAAACUGCCCGAUGGAGGGGGAUAACUACUGGAAACGGUAGCUAAUACCGCAUACCAUCGGAUGUACCCAGAUGGGAUUAGCUAGUUGGUGGGGUAACGGCUCACCUAGGCGCCGCUACCGAGCUGGUAUGAGAGGAUGACCAGCUCCACGGGAACUUGGACACGGUCCAGACUCCUACGGUAGGCAGGAUUGGGGAAUAUUGCACAAUUGGGGCAAGCCUGAUGCAGCCAUGCCGCGUUUAUGAAGAAGGCCUUCGGGUUGUAAAGUAUUUUCAGCGAUGAGGCGUUACUCGCAGAAGAAGCACCGGCUAACUCCGUGCCAGCAGCCGCGGUAAUAC
RNAcentral lists this ribosomal RNA (406 nucleotides) under uncultured bacterium. RNAcentral's name for it is "partial 16S ribosomal RNA". It matches the Rfam family "Bacterial small subunit ribosomal RNA", at positions 30 to 526 of the family's 1533-position model. The record is from RNAcentral.